This 400-nucleotide ribosomal RNA is filed under the name uncultured bacterium. RNAcentral describes it as "bacterial SSU rRNA". It matches the Rfam family "Bacterial small subunit ribosomal RNA", at positions 364 to 757 of the family's 1533-position model. The record is from RNAcentral.
UUGGACAAUGGGCGAAAGCCUGAUCCAGCCAUGCCGCGUGUGUGAAGAAGGUCUUCGGAUUGUAAAGCACUUUAAGUUGGGAGGAAGGGCAGUUACCUAAUACGUAAUUGUUUUGACGUUACCGACAGAAUAAGCACCGGCUAACUCUGUGCCAGCAGCCGCGGUAAUACAGAGGGUGCAAGCGUUAAUCGGAAUUACUGGGCGUAAAGCGCGCGUAGGUGGUUAGUUAAGUUGGAUGUGAAAUCCCCGGGCUCAACCUGGGAACUGCAUUCAAAACUGACUGACUAGAGUAUGGUAGAGGGUGGUGGAAUUUCCUGUGUAGCGGUGAAAUGCGUAGAUAUAGGAAGGAACACCAGUGGCGAAGGCGACCACCUGGACUGAUACUGACACUGAGUGCGAG